AGUUGCUCUUCUUUUUUCCUUCAUGGUUGUGUAGUCCUAUUUGCAUACAUAGAGAGCUGGUUCAUUCCUUGAUAGGAAAUUUGAUUCAGCCCAUUGCCAAAAGCUUGUGGUGUAGUUGCUGAUUUUUUUUUUUUUUUACACACAGAUAGUUCAAUAUCAUAUUUUAUACAAUUACAAGGGGAUUGUACACCUAUAGCACAUAGUGGACUUCCAAAGCUAUAUCACGUGCCAAUUUGACAGGAUUUUUUUUUUUCAAAGGAAUAUUUCUAAUUCUUUUCUUCUCUAAGGGGAAACAGUGAAAUAAUCAGCAAUUUUUGUUUAAAAAAAAAAUAGCUGGACUAUAUUGUAAUAUUUUAAAAAUUACAAAUACCCUUUUAAUUUGCUUCUGUAUGCGUUAGUGUGUGUGUGUGGUCUUUGUAAUUUUAUUAAUUCUUUUUAAUAUUUAAGCAUGAUGGCAAAUGAUGAAAAGAAUCAGACGGAUUCCCAUUGAUUAUACAAUAUGAUAUUAUAAUCCGCUAUCUCUGAGUCAUCAUUGCUUCUUUCAUUUCAGAUAAAAACCAAGCCCUUGCAUAUUCUGUAAUUAUUUGUCAUCAACACAAAACCAUUUAAGUUUGGUGUCUAUUUUGUGAAUCUGCCUCAAUAGGCACACUUGUGUUCCUGUGAAGAUAUGGUUGUUUGCAUGAGAGGAAAGCUGUUUUUGACUUCAUUCCAUAAUUUCCACAUAUAUGGGUGAUGUUUUGUUUUGAAUAUUAUCUUGUUCCAGUAAAUUUGAUGUGAUUUUGCAUUGUAUUCUUCACAACUGGAAAAAAAAUUAUGGUUUAGUUAUUUCAAACAUGCUUCUGAAAUUUCUAUAUUCAUUGUUUUUAUCAUUUUUGGCUGAAGAAAGUUGAAGUUUUAUUAACACCAGCAGCAUUAUUUACUGGAUUUCAGAUUAGUGGCUCACUUGCAAGGCGAGCAAUCAAGGAUCUCAUGGCACGAGGAUCUAUUAGGAUGAUAUCUCCUCAUGCCAGCCAGCAGAUCUAUACUAGAGCUACCAACACUUAGGAGACAAUCCCAAGUUUGUCUAUGAAGAGUAGAUCAAUUUAUAUUAUUCAGGGGAAUCUGAAAUAUGAGAUUUAAAUGUGAUAAAAAGUACAUGUUUUAUUCAUUGAUUUAUAUAUUAGGUUUAUAAAUGUGGAGAGCAUCUUAUUUACGCCUAGAUUUAAAAUUAUUUAUGAAGUGAUGUUAUUUUAUACAAAUCGAUUAGGCCUCCUUGAUGAACCUUAUGUACUUCAUCUAUUAAAAAAUAUAAAAAUA
Molecule: unclassified non-coding RNA, 1296 nt
Filed under: Hevea brasiliensis (rubber tree)
Lineage: Eukaryota; Viridiplantae; Streptophyta; Magnoliopsida; Malpighiales; Euphorbiaceae
Rfam family: Small nucleolar RNA R12 (bases 452-530)
Source: RNAcentral